AUUGAACGCUGGCGGCAGGCCUAACACAUGCAAGUCGAACGAGUGGCGGACGGGAGAGUAAUGUAUGGGAAACUGCCAGAUGGAGGGGGAUAACUACUGGAAACGGUAGCCCAUACCGCAUACCAUCGGAUGUGCCCAGAUGGGCUUAGCUAGUAUGUGGGGUAAAGGCUCCCCUAGGCGCCGAUCCCUAGCUGGUCUGAGAGGAUGCCCAGCCACACUGUAACUGAGACACGGUCACGACUCCUACGGGAGGCAGCAGUGGGGAAGAUUGCACAAUGGGCGCAAGCCUGGUGCAGCGAGGCCGCGUGGAUGAAGAAGGCCUUCGGGUUGUAAAGUACUUUCAGCGGGGAGGCGUGACCCGCAGAAGAAGCACCGGCUAACUCCGUGCCAGCAGCCGCGGUAAUUC
This 406-nucleotide ribosomal RNA is filed under the name uncultured bacterium. Its description in RNAcentral is "partial 16S ribosomal RNA". It matches the Rfam family "Bacterial small subunit ribosomal RNA", at positions 29 to 526 of the family's 1533-position model. The record is from RNAcentral.